This 460-nucleotide ribosomal RNA is filed under the name uncultured bacterium. RNAcentral describes it as "partial 16S ribosomal RNA". It matches the Rfam family "Bacterial small subunit ribosomal RNA", at positions 338 to 795 of the family's 1533-position model. The record is from RNAcentral.
CCUACGGGUGGCAGCAGUGAGGAAUAUUGGUCAAUGGGCGCGAGCCUGAACCAGCCAAGUAGCGUGAAGGAAGACUGCCCUACGGGUUGUAAACUUCUUUUGUACAGGGGUAAAGUGAGACACGUGUGCCUUUUUGUAUGUACUUUAUGAAUAAGGAUCGGCUAACUCCGUGCCAGCAGCCGCGGUAAUACGGAGGAUCCGAGCGUUAUCCGGAUUUAUUGGGUUUAAAGGGAGCGUAGAUGGGUUGAUAAGUCAGUUGUGAAAGUCUGCGGCUCAACCGUAGAAUUGCAAUUGAUACUGGCAGCCUUGAGUAUAGUUGAGGUAGGCGGAAUGCGUGGUGUAGCGGUGAAAUGCUUAGAGAUCACGCAGAACACCGAUUGCGAAGGCAGCUUACUAAACUACCACUGACGUUGAUGCUCGAAAGUGUGGGUAGCAAACAGGAUUAGAUACCCGUGUAGUC